RNAcentral lists this long non-coding RNA (226 nucleotides) under Elaeis guineensis (African oil palm). RNAcentral's name for it is "long non-coding RNA (EGUI_LNC042775)". Lineage: Eukaryota; Viridiplantae; Streptophyta; Magnoliopsida; Arecales; Arecaceae. The record is from RNAcentral.
AUGAAACUCUCAUUUGGAAAUAUGACCAUUGAUCUUAAUAUUUUCAAUCUUGAAAAAAAAGGGACCAACUCGUUGAUGUAAAUCUAAUUCAAGAUAAGAUCUAUGAGACCACUGACCUAGGGGAAGAAGAUUUUGACUGUAAUAUCUAGUCAGAUCAAAAAUUUGAAAUAACUUAUGAAAUAUCUCCAUCUAGUGAUCAGAGAGUUCAUCCACAAUGGCAACCACC